UAGGGAAUCUUCCACAAUGGACGCAAGUCUGAUGGAGCGACGCCGCGUGAGUGAAGAAGGUUUUCGGAUCGUAAAGCUCUGUUGUUGGUGAAGAAGGAUAGAGGCAGUAACUGGUCUUUAUUUGACGGUAAUCAACCAGAAAGUCACGGCUAACUACGUGCCAGCAGCCGCGGUAAUACGUAGGUGGCAAGCGUUGUCCGGAUUUAUUGGGCGUAAAGCGAGCGCAGGCGGAAUGAUAAGUCUGAUGUGAAAGCCCACGGCUCAACCGUGGAACUGCAUCGGAAACUGUCAUUCUUGAGUGCAGAAGAGGAGAGUGGAAUUCCAUGUGUAGCGGUGGAAUGCGUAGAUAUAUGGAAGAACACCAGUGGCGAAGGCGGCUCUCUGGUCUGCAACUGACGCUGAGGCUCGAAAGCAUGGGUAGCGAACAGG
Molecule: ribosomal RNA, 429 nt
Filed under: bacterium
Lineage: Bacteria
Description: partial 16S ribosomal RNA
Rfam family: Bacterial small subunit ribosomal RNA
Source: RNAcentral